Molecule: ribosomal RNA, 293 nt
Filed under: uncultured bacterium
Lineage: Bacteria
Description: partial 16S ribosomal RNA
Rfam family: Archaeal small subunit ribosomal RNA
Source: RNAcentral
GUGCCAGCCGCCGCGGUAAUACCGGCAGCCCAAGUGAUGGCCGAUCUUAUUGGGCCUAAAGCGUCCGUAGCUGGCCGCACAAGUCCAUCGGGAAAUCCACCUGCUCAACAGGUGGCCGUCCGGUGGAAACUGUGUGGCUUGGGACCGGAAGGCGCGACGGGUACGUCCGGGGUAGGAGUGAAAUCCUGUAAUCCUGGACGGACCGCCGAUGGCGAAAGCACGUCGCGAAAACGGAUCCGACAGUGAGGGACGAAAGCUAGGGUCUCGAACCGGAUUAGAUACCCCGGUAGUCC